CUCCUGCAGGUCAAGUCAUACCCAAGGAACAUACUAUCCAUGUGAUUGCUGGAAGCCCAAUUCAAAAGGAUGAACCUAUAAUUGAAUGAGGAUUUCACAUUGACCUUGAACCACUGGCAAUAUAAAGGAGGGUCUGAGUAGUUUUACAGGAUCACAAAGAUGAAGGAAAGUGGGUGCUUUUCUGCCCUGUGAAUUUUGAUGUGGACAUUGCCCAUCGCCCUCAUGUCACAUGAAGAAGUAAAAUGGCAUGCAAGACUACCGCUGGAUAGAAUCUGGAUGAUAUACACAUUUGCAGACAUGGAGAGUCCCUAUAACAUAAUUGGACAUCAAACAAUUAUGAUGUGUGAUAUGAGAAGGAAGCAGAGUCCCUCCCAUCCCCUGACACAUACUUGUUACCUGCAGACAUAUCCACAGGGACAGCUUCACUCUGCCCUUCCGGCUGGGGAGACAUCUCAUUUGGAGGUGACUUCAUCCUGGGAAAUGCUGUACUGCAUGAUAGGGGCCAUUUUCUGGGAUAGCAGGGCUGCUUUCAGAUAGCAAAGAGCUCUCUGUUGGUGCCCUCUGCACCUUGGGCAGAAAUCGAGGUGGUAUUCUUAGGGAAACUCUUUGGAAUAUAUAAAACACAACUUACUUUUUAAACCAAAGACAGGUAGUUGUAUCAUUAUCUGACUGGAAAACAGAUGGUACAUUCAAAUGGCGUAUUUGAAAAGAAUUUGGGAAAGAGACUAUUGACAAAGAAAUGGGCAGUGUUUACAGAAGUUCUUGGGAUCCAGCAGACAGCGUCUGGCCCUGAAAAUACAGAGGACGGAGCAGUUUCUAGAACAGAGAGACACAGAGAGAAGAAUGGAGAAGGUGCCUAGCGGGGAGCUGAGAUUCUCAUUCAAGAGUCUCCGCCAGCCUCCAGGAGCGCCAGGAGGGAGCCAGUGGGAUAAAUUCCCCAGCCUCUCUCCUUCCCCUGUUUCCUGCAAGUGUGCUCUGUUGGCCAAACUCAACGGGAAAGGCAAGAACCAUAAAUACGGGGCAACCUCCCCAGGCACAGAGCAGAGUGGGUGAGUGGGAGGCCCAGCAGAAGGCAUCCAGCAAGAUGGGGUCUUCAGGUUCUCCCAACCCUGGA
Long non-coding RNA from Rhinopithecus bieti (black snub-nosed monkey), 1114 nucleotides. Lineage: Eukaryota; Metazoa; Chordata; Mammalia; Primates; Cercopithecidae. The record is from Ensembl.